This is a long non-coding RNA of Diachasma alloeum, 601 nucleotides long. RefSeq lists it as uncharacterized. The record is from RefSeq and is a predicted model, not a curated record. The transcript is spliced from 3 exons. Lineage: Eukaryota; Metazoa; Arthropoda; Insecta; Hymenoptera; Braconidae.
UUCUAGAAGUCUCCAGCAUUAGUAGACUAUGCGCCUAUUGGAGGUUAUAGUAUUAUUGUUAGUCGUCGUCUGCAUGUUUCACAUCGGAGCGUUCGCCUGCAGCAAGAAGAAGGUGAAAAUUAGACACUGCAAGGGAUACUACAAUGUGGGGCUCUGCCAAGAAAUGUGCGUUCGCAAGUUCAAAAAUGAAAAUUAUCGAGACGGCUCUUUUUGUAAUAAAGAAGAAAUGUGCAUUUGCAAAAUCAAGGAGGAAAAGGUGGAAGAGGAAUAAUUCUGUGAGACAGAUGUUUCGGCAACUUUUUAUAAUAUCUACGCGGAGAGAAUAUAAAAUUGAAAAUUACAAUGAACAUAGUAAUCGAGGACUUUGCCGAAACAACAUUGACAUUUGAUCGUCAAAUUUGACACUCGUGUCAAAUUAAAUGUUUCUUUCUUUUUUGUUUUUUAUGUUCUGACGUGGAUACGUCCAUGGUUUCAAUAUGGGGGGUGUCAUUUCGAGAAACGAUCCUUAUGUGCAGCACCAUCUAUCGGAGUUCUAGAAAAUUUUAGACAUUUCGAGAUAAUUCGAGAAGUUUCUAAGAAAUUCGAGAAAGAAGAAAAGACC